GACAGAGGGUGCAAACGUUGUUCGGAAUUACUGGGCGUAAAGCGCGUGUAGGCUGCUUCGCAAGUCGGAUGUGAAAGCCCUGGGCUCAACCCAGGAAGUGCAUUCGAAACUGCAGAGCUGGAGUCCUGGAGAGGAAGGCGGAAUUCUCGGUGUAGAGGUGAAAUUCGUAGAUAUCGAGAGGAACACCGGUGGCGAAGGCGGCCUUCUGGACAGUGACUGACGCUGAGACGCGAAAAGCGUGGGGGAGCAAACAGG
This 255-nucleotide ribosomal RNA is filed under the name uncultured bacterium. RNAcentral describes it as "partial 16S ribosomal RNA". It matches the Rfam family "Bacterial small subunit ribosomal RNA", at positions 524 to 776 of the family's 1533-position model. The record is from RNAcentral.